GAUACAUCCAGAAUAUUCGCGACUAUGGCGAAAUAUGCAGAUCACCAUUAAAAUCUCACUGAUUGACCUAAAAUUGGAAAGAGAUAUAUUUUUGGUGUUUUAAUGGCUUUAUAUUAUGUCUAAGUACAUGUUUUUUAUAUCUAUAUUAUUUGGAAUGAAAAACAAUUUCUGUUAUCAAGAAUAGUAACAUGGAUUAUGUUCGGGGUCAAUUUGACCCCAGGAAAAACAAACACAAUUUCAGAAAUUUAGAAGGAUUUGUAAAACAGAAUAUCAUCAUCAUCAGAACAUCACUAAGGAAUACAUAACAGGUAUUUAUUUCCACAAAUAUUAAAGUACAUUUGAGAUUGGUCUAUGCUACACUAAGUGCUAUGUAUGCAAAUAGUUUUGCAUGAGAUAGUGAAAAAAACAAAGUCACUAAAAUUAGUUUGACAGAAUAUGAACAGCAUAUUAUCUUUCCUUCAGCCCACCAGAAGGUACAUUCCAGCCUUUGGUCUGCACUACUGUACACAUGAUGUGCAGAGAGUGCAUGCAUGUUCCUUGCAGAUGUAUUUCUUGAAUUUCACACAGGUGUUGCUGGUCUUGGAGUCAUUUCUGUUUGGACAGACCUGGCACCAACCACGUUUCCUGCCUGUAGUUUGAACCACUGGAGGAGCUGCACAGUGUGCGUCUGUAUGGAUGUCCUUCACAACAGUUGCAGCGGCAGUUGAUGUUCUUGGAAUGGCACUGUCUUCUCUCGAUAUGAGAUUUCAACCAACGCGUAACCCAGUUUCUCCAGGAAAAUCCUCCUUCGAGUCAGUGUUCCGCUGUUCCAGUCCUUGUUUAUCUCAUUCCAUAUUACAAAGUGCAGUGCAGUGCAGUGUAGGCGCAGUGUAGGCGCUCACAUCAAUGAUGUUGAAGAAAAUUACAAGGGGCCAACGGGCAGUCAUGUGUCGGCAGCUGUAUGUGGCUGUGACCUUGUCCAGGUUAUCUACCCCUCCCUUUGUCUUGUUGUAGUCCAAGACCAUUUGUGGUUUUCUGUCUUCUCUGGUGCUCAGGACAGCAUCUUUGUGCAUGGUGCUCAUCAGCAGGACUGUUUUCCCUUUCUUGGGGCAAUAGGAGACGACAGUGGCUCUGUCAGUGAAGGCAAACAUUGAAGAGGUUACCGCCGUGUUCUUCAUCACAAGCUGCUCAGUGGGAAGCUCUGGCUUGUUUUUUCUCACUGUCCCCAACAUGGUAACCUUUCUUUUCAGCAGUUCUUCACCCAGGGCAUAUGAUGUGAAAAAAUUAUCACAUGUAAUGUUAUGACCAUUCAGUCCUUCAGCCAUGUCAAGUACCACCCUCAUGCCCUGAUUUUUUUCAGGUGCUUGCCCAGGGGAUUUACCAGUGUACACCUGCAUAUUCCAGGCAUAGCUGGACUGUGCAUCACAUGCUGCCCAUAUUUUGAUACCGUAUUUGGCCGGUUUGCUCGGUAUGUAUUGUCUGAAGGGACAGCGGCCACGAAAUGCAACCAGACAUUCAUCCACAGUCACGUGGGGGCCUGGAUUGUAGACAAUUGUUUGUUAUAGUGACCUCAAUAUCAUCCAAAACAACCAGAACCAAUGUGUGAAACAUGUUGAUAUUUCUUUUAUGUUUUACACAUUGGAAAACAGCUUGGGGUCAAAUUGACCCCGAAGAACACCGAUGCGUACAAGUUGUGUACAGGAAAUUGAAAACAUAUCUUCUUGUUAAUUUUAUGUUUACCCAGUUGUCCCCAAUAAAUUAGGAAAAGUCAUGAAAUAUGAAGCAAAAAAAAUUAUGUCAAUAUAUUAUUUAGAGACGUUAAACAUUGAAUGGGGUCAAAUUGACCCCAAAGGUAAUAGGAGGGUUAAUGUGCUAAGCCAUCAAAAUUGUCCUCCAGAUUCAAACUGCACUACUUAUCCUGGAUCUCAGCAGUGCUGGUAAUUGAUCAGUGGGAGGAUGAGCGAAUAUCCAGAGAUGAGAGUGUUUGUCAAACAGGCCAGGACAGUGAUAUUAACUUUCCCUAUUUAUGUAUUCUGCAUCGUAAUGCGAUGCUCAACACCUGAGGGCUCCAUCCCCGAAUUCCUACGCUUCCUGAAAACAACUCGUAUGUAUGCGCACCACUGAGGAGUAGUGCAUUUUUGCUCUCCUCACUUUUUCUUUGUGGAAUUAUGGACCACGAUGAUAAUUGCUGCUCUUGUGCAGAUUUACUUUUACUUUUCCAAAAUGGAUUGAUGUCGUGUUUUUUUGCACAUGGAAAUGGCUAGCUUGGCUAAGAGGGAUGGAGGUCUUUAGAUGUGUUCCCCUUUUUCAAAAAGGAUGAAUAUUGGUGGUUAUGUACUGUUAGCAACAUAAUUUCACUUUUUUGUCCUGUAUCCUUUCGCCUGCAUAGGGACUGUAGCCGGACCAGCAUGACAUUUAUCCAUUUAUCCUUACAACCUACUGUUUGGGUCGGUUCCCACUGCACUUUAGCUGCCGUUGUUAUUUUGUACCGCUGAGUAAAGCUCCGAACAAUCGGUGAGACAAAAGGGUGGAGCUGGUAUAUUUGUCUCUAUUUCAUGGGUCCAUUGUCAGCUUUCAGCAGCGAGGAGCAAGGUAACAUGAAUUUCAAGUUGAUGUGUGUGUGUGUUUGUGUGUGUGCAUUAUUCCUUCCCUUUUCACUUUAAGAGACGUUUCUUCACAUCAAUGGGGUUCAAGAAGCCAGUGGCAUACCUGGCAAGUAAGGCUUGUAAUUCAGUGUGAGCUUUAUGAAAUAUUGUUAUUUAUGCCUGUGGGUGAGUGGAUUAUGUUCCUCACAAAAAAUAAACAUAUGUAACCUCAUGUGUAAUACAUCAUAUCUUUGUAUUUGCAUUUAUCCCUCAUCAAUUUUGAACUAUUGAAUAAAAUCAGUUUUAGAAAUAUUAGAAAUAUUCAAGAUUUCAGUUUAAAUAUCCAUCUCCAUGUUGUCAUAUUAAGUUUGGGCCACUAAGUUAUUCUGUCAAGGACAAUAUGCUUCGGUUAUCUGUCCUUAAAAGCAUUUGAGGUACAAUGAACUGAAAAUGGCCCGUUUUCAGAGACCCUGGUUUUUGUAAGCAUCAUCCAUCCUCAAUUACUUUCCGCAACAGUGAACACAGAGUCCCACCUUUACCAAACGGCACAAAACAUCUCUCCCUGAAGAUUAAUUAUGUUCUGAAAUUGGUUUCUCAGAAAAAAACUGAAAAGAUGACCCUUUGAAGGAAUUGCUGCUUUUGUAGUGGUUCAGUGCCCCAUCUAUAAUGAAUCGUACUGCGAGGGACAUGACAAAUGGAUUUUCUUGUGUCUUUUAUGGCAGUGUUGGAAAUGUUGAAAUACUUUAGGAGGGCCUGAGUCAACACCAGGAAAAGGGGAGCUCGGCUCUGCGUAGCACAGUGUUGGACCACACUGACUCACACACUGUUAGGGGCGUAGGAGGAGCUGAAACACACACAAGACCUGCAAAAAGAUGAAUGACGCAGUGUAAUCAUCUAUUCAUAUUGGAAGCUGAGAGGGAGUCUGAGGGUGGAUGCUUGACAAUCCCGCAUCUCAGUGUUACGCCGACAGCUGUAUAAUGCUUUAAAGGGUAAUUAAUUCAUCCUCCAAUUUUUCCUUUGUUCUGCCAAAGAGAAAUUUGCUAGAGAUAAUUCUCCUCAGUGAAUAUUUAGGCAUUUAUUAAAUCAAUCUAAUAUAUAUAUCGUAUUGAUUUAAUUAGCAUUUUCUUCAUUAUUUAAUUUUCUUACAUAUAAUAAGUUCUGCUCUGUUUAGUUUAUUGUAUAAAUUGAGCAUUUUUAAUUCCAAUUCAACAUUAUCAUCAUGUUUACGCUGCAUGAAUCUAUAAUCAUAUAUCUAUCUAUAUUCAAGAAUUAUUUUUCUUGAGUGCAGCAGAGGGCCAAAUCUAUGGAAGGAUAAAAAUAAAUGCUGUGUCAGAAAAAAAGUAUGAUUUGGAGUGAGAAAGAUAAACUACCAGUAGCAAAACAAGCUGGGAGGGCAAAUGUGCUAUGGCAAUGUAACAUAAAAAUGAUUCUUUAUUUCACAACGGACGCUCAGAUUCUUAUCGUCUGACACCAUUAUGCAGUUGCUCCUGUAGCCCAGCAGCCGCAAUGCUCCCGAUCAAUGCGGGACAAUUUAAAGAAAAAGUGUCCCCACUAUUGACUUCAACCAAUUAACUGAAACUGAUAAAAAUAGCCUCGUUAACUUCAAGGUAUUUGAUGGAUUUAUUUCCUACCUCAAAAAGGUUCACAUCUCUUUAAUUAGUUAAUUUACUGAAAUGUAGGAAUAUCUAUUGAAGCAUGCUUUUGAUCAGGGAGGGCCUUUGAAGCACAUCUUUCAAGCAGCAAUUCAAUUUAGAAAUGAACUGACAUUCUUUUGAAAAGUUCUGAGCGGCGUUUU
Gasterosteus aculeatus aculeatus (three-spined stickleback) is the source of this 4359-nucleotide long non-coding RNA. The record is from Ensembl. NCBI's taxonomy places the organism in Eukaryota, Metazoa, Chordata, Actinopteri, Perciformes, Gasterosteidae.